UACAGAGACUGCAAGCGUUAUUCGGAUUCACUGGGCGUAAAGGGUGCGCAGGCGGCCAAGUGUGUUAGGCGUGAAAGCCCGGGGCUUAACCCCGGAAUUGCACCUAAAACUACAUGGCUAGAGCAUUGGAGAGGGUAGCAGAAUUCAUGGUGUAGCAGUGAAAUGCGUAGAUAUCAUGAGGAAUACCAGAGGCGAAGGCGGCUACCUGGACAAUUGCUGACGCUCAGGCACGAAAGCGUGGGGGAGCAAAAGGG
Molecule: ribosomal RNA, 254 nt
Filed under: uncultured bacterium
Lineage: Bacteria
Description: partial 16S ribosomal RNA
Rfam family: Bacterial small subunit ribosomal RNA
Source: RNAcentral